Molecule: long non-coding RNA, 1650 nt
Organism: Sarcophilus harrisii (Tasmanian devil)
Lineage: Eukaryota; Metazoa; Chordata; Mammalia; Dasyuromorphia; Dasyuridae
Exons: 5
Source: RefSeq, a predicted model, not a curated record
AUUAUAAUUACUUAUAGUAGUUAUUAUGGGCAUAGAAUCUGAUGCACUUAAUAUUCACUCUAUCAUCCCUCUAUUAUGUUGAUGACAAAACUUCACCAUCCUUUCUCUUUAAGAGUGUCAACCCAGGGAAGCCCACCACUCAAAAUUCAGUGGAGUCCAAGCUGAGUUGAAAUUUUAAAAGUUUUAUUUGAAGGGAAAUUGACAUUAAUGCUGAGGCAACCUAGUACAAAGUACAAAGGGACCCAGAGCUUUGGAGAGGCAGUGGCAAUUUAUACUUGAAAAUUACAAAAAGAAAAUUCAGGGAAGAAUUAGAUUUAAAAAUGGACAGUCUUUCCCAUGAACAGCUGGGGUACAGAAGCAAGAUAUUUUGCAGGAAAAAUUGACAGAAAAGGCAGUUUAGGCUAGUUUGUGGUACAAAGAUCAGCAAAGCCAGAUAUCAAACAAAAAAGAUUUUGGGAGUAGGAAAGACUGGCAUUGGACACAUUCAUUUAAAAAUAUUCCCCGCAACCCUAGUAUUGAGAUGGCCUAAGUUUGUUCGGCUAAGUUAAGAAAGGUUUUUUCUUUUUCCUCCAAAAAGGUCUUUAUUUUGUUAACCUAUUGCUGUUUUCUUAUUUUAGAUUUCUUAUGCUGCGUUUUUCAUCUUUCUUUUCUUUUUUUAGUACAAGAAGAAAUAUGAUUUCUCAGGAUAUCAUCAUAGACUACACAUUUUUCUUGAAAAUAAGAGAUUUAUAGAUAGACACAAUGCUGGGAACCACUUAUUCACAGUUUUCAGAUAUGACCUUAGAUGAAUUCAGAAAUACUUAUGAGAAUACCUCAAUCUCCAAAGAAUUGAAGCCCAGCAUUGGUUAAAGAGACACAUUAGCCUUUCAGACACUGAACUAGCUCUGACAACAUAUCAACUUCGUCAUAUAUAUGUACAUCUGUGGAAAAUAUACUACCAAGCCUUUUGUGUAGCGUUUCUCGAUGCGAACCCGCCCUAACUUGGUGUUUUGGAGAACUAGGAGACCAACCCAUAUUCCUGCCACGUUCCAUACCUCAUCAGUAUGAAGAGGGAAGUGGAAGCAGGAGCAUGCAAUGGGAGGACCAAGAAAGCUGCUGUUAAUUUCAUCAUCCCCAGCCAAUUAGGAGGAUGAGGGAAGGACCUUCUGCUUCAGGAUAGGAAAUAAAAGGCUUAGUCCAGCAUCUAAUAGUGUGCAUCUAUCCAGGGACUGCAAUUAGGUGCAUAUUGCAAGAAUUGUAAAAAAAAAAUUUACUUCAUAUAUUUCUGAGUCUUUUUUAUCUUUGCAACAAACUUUUAACAAUAACGGUCUGGAUUAAGUGGUAUCAGUGUUAGAGAGGAGAAGGGAGAAGUAUGUGAAAGAUGUUGUAAAGAUGGAAACAAUAGGACUUCACAAUUUAUUGAAAAUGGGGAUUGAAAGAACUUAUGGGCUUGCAAAGAUCUGGCAUGGUGGAGGGACAUUACAGAGUCAGAAGCUUCUGAUGUGUGGUGAAGUCUGGAGUGUCAGAAACACAGUUGGGAGGGGACACCUGAGGAGUUUGCUACCUUAGAAUAAAGUUUUGUUGAUACCUUUUGUUUAUCACCUCACCACCCCUUCCUGACAUGCUCCACUCCAUAGAACCAAUUCCUCUUCACAUAGAAAAACAAUUAAA